RNAcentral lists this ribosomal RNA (207 nucleotides) under uncultured bacterium. Its description in RNAcentral is "partial 16S ribosomal RNA". It matches the Rfam family "Bacterial small subunit ribosomal RNA", at positions 568 to 774 of the family's 1533-position model. The record is from RNAcentral.
CGCGUAGGCGGCUCGGUAAGUCUGGAGUGAAAGUCCUGCUUUCAAGGUGGGAAUUGCUUUGGAUACUGUCGAGCUUGAGUGCAGGAGAGGUAAGUGGAAUUCCCAGUGUAGCGGUGAAAUGCGUAGAGAUUGGGAGGAACACCAGUGGCGAAGGCGACUUACUGGACUGUAACUGACGCUGAGGCGCGAAAGUGUGGGGAGCAAACA